GCCUGCGUUUUACACAUCGAACCUGUUUAAAUCAGUCUAUUUUUUUUCUGGUCUUUAAUUGUUUGCUUUUUAUGCCGCCUCAGCAAUCUGGACACGGCGGCGAGGGAAACGAAAUCUAACUAAUUAAUUAUUGUGAGAAGGUUUUUAAUAGGGGUGUUAAAUCCAUGAAACAACUAUAGCUCUAACCAUACUGUUGGAAGAGUGUGUGUUUGUGUGUGUGUGUGUGGUUGCAGGGUUACUGUAGGAAGAGUGUGUGUGUGUGUGGUUGCAGGGUUACUGUAGGAAGUGUGUGUGUGUGGUUGCAGGGUUUGUUUUACAGUGUUUCUCUGUUUAAUGCUGACUGAGCUUCUUUUGAGGCCUCACCGACUCACCGUACAAAUGACUCUACCAUAUGAACAGUUGGAAGCUUGUCCAUCUUGUUUGCAAACUUUGGAUGUGGCCUAGAAUUGCAGUCCCUCAGGGUAAGGGUUGAACUGGCUCGUUCCUCGAGUAUAGCAUUCGUGAGUCUACUUGCGUGUUUGCCAUGUCUCUUCCUUAAGAGGUAAGUAGCUUGGAGCUCGAGGGAGUAGGGCGAAGUUGCCCCCUAGUUGCUGAUCUUGGGUCAAUGUUACAUUUCCCCCACUAAUGGUUAUUUGUUAGGAUUGGGGCAGGCAAAGAUGAUACUAGAUCUGUACCUAAGGGAAACCUGCUUGCUUGUAUGUUAAAGUGCUUUGAGUAUAACAUUGGGGGGGGCCUAUUUGCAUGUUGAGCUUAUUGGUUGAGUUCAGUCUAACACGGCAUCGGUCUGUGUCUAGGGGAAACUUCACCCUGGAGCGAUGUGGAAUAACAGUCUCACAGCAUCGGUCUGUGUCUAGGAGAAACUUCACCCUGGAGCGAUGUGGAAUAACAGUCUCACAGCAUCGGUCUGUGUCUAGGAGAAACUUCACACUGGAGCGAUGUGGAAUAACAGUCUCACAGCAUCGGUCUGUGUCUAGGAGAAACUUCACCCUGGAGCGAUGUGGAAUAACAGUCUCACAGCAUCGGUCUGUGUCUAGGAGAAACUUCACCCUGGAGCGAGGUGGAAUAACAGUCUCACAGCAUCGGUCUGUGUCUAGGAGAAACUUCACCCUGGAGCGAUGUGGAAUAACAGUUUCACAGCAUCGGUCUGUGUCUAGGAGAAACUUCACCUGGAGCGAUGUGGAAUAACAGUCUCACAGCAUCGGCUUUGGUUGAUAGUGGUGGUUUAUUGGGUUAUUAGUAUGGGGGUUGGUUGUGGAAAGUUAUGUGUUGUUGAGCUGUUAUUAGUGUUGUUGAGCUGUUAUUAGUGUUGUUGAGCUGUUAUUAGUGUUGUUGAGCUGUUAUUAGUGUUGUUGAGCUGUGGUGUGUUGUUAGUGUUGUUGAGCUGUGGUGUGUUGUUAGUGUUGUUGAGGUGUUAUUAGUGCUGUUGAGCUGUUAUUAGUGUUGUUGAGCUGUGGUGGGUUAUUAAUGUUGUUGAGGUGUUAUUAGUGUUGUUGAGCUGUGGUGGGUUAUUAGUGUUGUUGAGCUGUUAUUAGUGCUGUUGAGCUGUUAUUAGUGUUGUUGAGCUGUUAUUUGUGUUGUUGAGCUGUGGUGUGUUGUUAGUGUUGUUGAGCUGUUAUUAGUGUUGUUGAGCUGUUAUUAGUGUUGUUGUGCUGUUAUUAGUGUUGUUGAGCUGUUAUUAGUGUUGUUGAGCUGUCAUUAGUGUUGUUGAGCUGUUAUUAGUGUUGUUGAGCUGUGGUAGGUCAUUAGUGUUGUUGAGCUGUCAUUAGUGUUGUUGAGCUGUCAUUAGUGUUGUUGAGCUGUGGUGGGUCAUUAGUGUUGUUGAGCUGUGGUAGGUCAUUAGUGUUGUUGAGCUGUUAUUAGUGUUGUUGAGCUGUUAUUAGUGUUGUUGAGCUGUGGUGGGUCAUUAGUGUUGUUGAGCUGUUAUUAGUGUUGUUGAGCUGUGGUAGGUCAUUAGUGUUGUUGAGCUGUUAUUAGUGUUGUUGAGCUGUGGUAGGUCAUUAGUGUUGUUGAGCUGUUAUUAGUGUUGUUGAGCUGUGGUGGGUCAUUAGUGUUGUUGAGCUGUUAUUAGUGUUGUUGAGCUGUGGUGGGUCAUUAGUGUUGUUGAGCUGUUAUUAGUGUUGUUGAGCUGUGGUAGGUCAUUAGUGUUGUUGAGCUGUCAUUAGUGUUGUUGAGCUGUCAUUAGUGUUGUUGAGCUGUGGUGGGUCAUUAGUGUUGUUGAGCUGUGGUAGGUCAUUAGUGUUGUUGAGCUGUUAUUAGUGUUGUUGAGCUGUGGUAGGUCAUUAGUGUUGUUGAGCUGUUAUUAGUGUUGUUGAGCUGUGGUGGGUCAUUAGUGUUGUUGAGCUGUUAUUAGUGUUGUUGAGCUGUGGUGGGUCAUUAGUGUUGUUGAGCUGUUAUUAGUGUUGUUGAGCUGUGGUAGGUCAUUAGUGUUGUUGAGCUGUCAUUAGUGUUGUUGAGCUGUCAUUAGUGUUGUUGAGCUGUGGUGGGUCAUUAGUGUUGUUGAGCUGUGGUAGGUCAUUAGUGUUGUUGAGCUGUUAUUAGUGUUGUUGAGCUGUUAUUAGUGUUGUUGAGCUGUUAUUAGUGUUGUUGAGCUGUGGUGGGUCAUUAGUGUUGUUGAGCUGUUAUUAGUGUUGUUGAGCUGUUAUUAGUGUUGUUGAGCUGUGGUAGGUCAUUAGUGUUGUUGAGCUGUUAUUAGUGUUGUUGAGCUGUGGUAGGUCAUUAGUGUUGUUGAGCUGUUAUUAGUGUUGUUGAGCUGUGGUAGGUCAUUAGUGUUGUUGAGCUGUUAUUAGUGUUGUUGAGCUGUUAUUAGUGUUGUUGAGCUGUGGUGGGUCAUUAGUGUUGUUGAGCUGUUAUUAGUGUUGUUGAGCUGUUAUUAGUGUUGUUGAGCUGUGGUAGGUCAUUAGUGUUGUUGAGCUGUUAUUAGUGUUGUUGAGCUGUGGUAGGUCAUUAGUGUUGUUGAGCUGUUAUUAGUGUUGUUGAGCUGUGGUAGGUCAUUAGUGUUGUUGAGCUGUUAUUAGUGUUGUUGAGCUGUGGUAGGUCAUUAGUGUUGUUGAGCUGUUAUUAGUGUUGUUGAGCUGUGGUGGGUCAUUAGUGUUGUUGAGCUGUUAUUAGUGUUGUUGAGCUGUGGUGGGUCAUUAGUGUUGUUGAGCUGUCAUUAGUGUUGUUGAGCUGUGGUGGGUCAUUAGUGUUGUUGAGCUGUGGUAGGUCAUUAGUGUUGUUGAGCUGUGGUAGGUCAUUAGUGUUGUUGAGCUGUUAUUAGUGUUGUUGAGCUGUUAUUAGUGUUGUUGAGCUGUGGUAGGUCAUUAGUGUUGUUGAGCUGUGGUGGGUCAUUAGUGUUGUUGAGCUGUUAUUAGUGUUGUUGAGCUGUGGUAGGUCAUUAGUGUUGUUGAGCUGUUAUUAGUGUUGUUGAGCUGUGGUAGGUCAUUAGUGUUGUUGAGCUGUGGUAGGUCAUUAGUGUUGUUGAGCUGUUAUUAGUGUUGUUGAGCUGUGGUAGGUCAUUAGUGUUGUUGAGCUGUGGUGGGUCAUUAGUGUUGUUGAGCUGUGGUAGGUCAUUAGUGUUGUUGAGCUGUUAUUAGUGUUGUUGAGCUGUGGUAGGUCAUUAGUGUUGUUGAGCUGUGGUGGGUCAUUAGUGUUGUUGAGCUGUGGUAGGUCAUUAGUGUUGUUGAGCUGUUAUUAGUGUUGUUGAGCUGUUAUUAGUGUUGUUGAGCUGUGGUAGGUCAUUAGUGUUGUUGAGCUGUUAUUAGUGUUGUUGAGCUGUGGUAGGUCUAUCUCCUGUAGUACAUUUUUGCUGUUUUAUUGAACUAUCAUCUUUAGAGAUGUUUGUUCUCAGGACUCCAUUGUGAAUGAGACACUGGUCUCAACUGGGAUCCCGUGAAUAAAUAUAAAGUUCAGUAAAAAAUGAAUCUAUAAGUACUAUCUAUCAGUACUAUCUAUCAGUACUAUCCAUCUAUCGGUACUAUCUAUCAGUACUAUCAAUCUAUCAGUACUAUCUAUCAAUCUAUCGGUACUGUCAAUCUAUCAGUACUAUCAAUCCAUCGGUACUAUCUAUCAGUACUAUCAAUCUAUCGGUACUAUCUAUCAGUACUAUCAAUCCAUCGGUACUAUCUAUCAGUACUAUCAAUCUAUCAGUACUAUCAACCUAUCAGUACUAUCAACCUAUCAGUACUAUCAACCUAUCAGUACUAUCAAUCUAUCAGUACUAUCUAUCUAUCAGUACUAUCAGGGGAAACUUCACUCUGGAGCGAGGUGCAAUAAUAGUCUCACAGCAUCAUCAGCAAAUCGUCGUCGUGGGAACAGAGGGGUGUGGAGUUGGCACGGGGGUCUGGGGUCAUGGUGAGGGUUGGGCGAGACAUCUUAGAGGGAGGAGGGGCCGAGGGGAGGGGCGCCACGGUGGCCCUGACUCUCCUGUUACCCCCCUGGAACUGACGACCCUGCUGC
Long non-coding RNA from Oncorhynchus keta (chum salmon), 4434 nucleotides. RefSeq lists it as uncharacterized. The record is from RefSeq and is a predicted model, not a curated record. The transcript has 5 exons. NCBI's taxonomy places the organism in Eukaryota, Metazoa, Chordata, Actinopteri, Salmoniformes, Salmonidae.